GGUUAAGCGACUAAGCGUACACGGUGGAUGCCCUGGCAGUCAGAGGCGAUGAAGGACGUGCUAAUCUGCGAUAAGCGUCGGUAAGGUGAUAUGAACCGUUAUAACCGGCGAUUUCCGAAUGGGGAAACCCAGUGUGAUUCGUCACACUAUCAUUAACUGAAUCCAUAGGUUAAUGAGGCGAACCGGGGGAACUGAAACAUCUAAGUACCCCGAGGAAAAGAAAUCAACCGAGAUUCCCCCAGUAGCGGCGAGCGAACGGGGAGCAGCCCAGAGCCUGAAUCAGUGUGUGUGUUAGUGGAAGCGUCUGGAAAGGCGCGCGAUACAGGGUGACAGCCCCGUACACAAAAAUGCACAUACUGUGAGCUCGAUGAGUAGGGCGGGACACGUGGUAUCCUGUCUGAAUAUGGGGGGACCAUCCUCCAAGGCUAAAUACUCCUGACUGACCGAUAGUGAACCAGUACCGUGAGGGAAAGGCGAAAAGAACCCCGGCGAGGGGAGUGAAAAAGAACCUGAAACCGUGUACGUACAAGCAGUGGGAGCCUCUUAAUGGGGUGACUGCGUACCUUUUGUAUAAUGGGUCAGCGACUUAUAUUCUGUAGCAAGGUUAACCGAAUAGGGGAGCCGAAGGGAAACCGAGUCUUAACUGGGCGUUAAGUUGCAGGGUAUAGACCCGAAACCCGGUGAUCUAGCCAUGGGCAGGUUGAAGGUUGGGUAACACUAACUGGAGGACCGAACCGACUAAUGUUGAAAAAUUAGCGGAUGACUUGUGGCUGGGGGUGAAAGGCCAAUCAAACCGGGAGAUAGCUGGUUCUCCCCGAAAGCUAUUUAGGUAGCGCCUCGUGAAUUCAUCUCCGGGGGUAGAGCACUGUUUCGGCAAGGGGGUCAUCCCGACUUACCAACCCGAUGCAAACUGCGAAUACCGGAGAAUGUUAUCACGGGAGACACACGGCGGGUGCUAACGUCCGUCGUGAAGAGGGAAACAACCCAGACCGCCAGCUAAGGUCCCAAAGUCAUGGUUAAGUGGGAAACGAUGUGGGAAGGCCCAGACAGCCAGGAUGUUGGCUUAGAAGCAGCCAUCAUUUAAAGAAAGCGUAAUAGCUCACUGGUCGAGUCGGCCUGCGCGGAAGAUGUAACGGGGCUAAACCAUGCACCGAAGCUGCGGCAGCGACACUGUGUGUUGUUGGGUAGGGGAGCGUUCUGUAAGCCUGUGAAGGUGUGCUGUGAGGCAUGCUGGAGGUAUCAGAAGUGCGAAUGCUGACAUAAGUAACGAUAAAGCGGGUGAAAAGCCCGCUCGCCGGAAGACCAAGGGUUCCUGUCCAACGUUAAUCGGGGCAGGGUGAGUCGACCCCUAAGGCGAGGCCGAAAGGCGUAGUCGAUGGGAAACAGGUUAAUAUUCCUGUACUUGGUGUUACUGCGAAGGGGGGACGGAGAAGGCUAUGUUGGCCGGGCGACGGUUGUCCCGGUUUAAGCGUGUAGGCUGGUUUUCCAGGCAAAUCCGGAAAACUAAGGCUGAGGCGUGAUGACGAGGCACUACGGUGCUGAAGCAACAAAUGCCCUGCUUCCAGGAAAAGCCUCUAAGCAUCAGGUAACAUCAAAUCGUACCCCAAACCGACACAGGUGGUCAGGUAGAGAAUACCAAGGCGCUUGAGAGAACUCGGGUGAAGGAACUAGGCAAAAUGGUGCCGUAACUUCGGGAGAAGGCACGCUGAUAUGUAGGUGAAGUCCCUCGCGGAUGGAGCUGAAAUCAGUCGAAGAUACCAGCUGGCUGCAACUGUUUAUUAAAAACACAGCACUGUGCAAACACGAAAGUGGACGUAUACGGUGUGACGCCUGCCCGGUGCCGGAAGGUUAAUUGAUGGGGUUAGCGGUAACGCGAAGCUCUUGAUCGAAGCCCCGGUAAACGGCGGCCGUAACUAUAACGGUCCUAAGGUAGCGAAAUUCCUUGUCGGGUAAGUUCCGACCUGCACGAAUGGCGUAAUGAUGGCCAGGCUGUCUCCACCCGAGACUCAGUGAAAUUGAACUCGCUGUGAAGAUGCAGUGUACCCGCGGCAAGACGGAAAGACCCCGUGAACCUUUACUAUAGCUUGACACUGAACAUUGAGCCUUGAUGUGUAGGAUAGGUGGGAGGCUUUGAAGUGUGGACGCCAGUCUGCAUGGAGCCGGCCUUGAAAUACCACCCUUUAAUGUUUGAUGUUCUAACGUUGGCCCCUGAUCGGGGUUGCGGACAGUGUCUGGUGGGUAGUUUGACUGGGGCGGUCUCCUCCUAAAGAGUAACGGAGGAGCACGAAGGUUGGCUAAUCCUGGUCGGACAUCAGGAGGUUAGUGCAAUGGCAUAAGCCAGCUUGACUGCGAGCGUGACGGCGCGAGCAGGUGCGAAAGCAGGUCAUAGUGAUCCGGUGGUUCUGAAUGGAAGGGCCAUCGCUCAACGGAUAAAAGGUACUCCGGGGAUAACAGGCUGAUACCGCCCAAGAGUUCAUAUCGACGGCGGUGUUUGGCACCUCGAUGUCGGCUCAUCACAUCCUGGGGCUGAAGUAGGUCCCAAGGGUAUGGCUGUUCGCCAUUUAAAGUGGUACGCGAGCUGGGUUUAGAACGUCGUGAGACAGUUCGGUCCCUAUCUGCCGUGGGCGCUGGAGAACUGAGGGGGGCUGCUCCUAGUACGAGAGGACCGGAGUGGACGCAUCACUGGUGUUCGGGUUGUCAUGCCAAUGGCACUGCCCGGUAGCUAAAUGCGGAAGAGAUAAGUGCUGAAAGCAUCUAAGCACGAAACUUGCCCCGAGAUGAGUUCUCCCUGACUCCUUGAGAGUCCUGAAGGAACGUUGAAGACGACGACGUUGAUAGGCCGGGUGUGUAAGCGCAGCGAUGCGUUGAGCUAACCGGUACUAAUGAACCGUGAGGCUUAACCUU
This 2904-nucleotide ribosomal RNA is filed under the name Escherichia coli. Its description in RNAcentral is "23S ribosomal RNA". It matches the Rfam family "Bacterial large subunit ribosomal RNA". Lineage: Bacteria; Pseudomonadati; Pseudomonadota; Gammaproteobacteria; Enterobacterales; Enterobacteriaceae. The record is from RNAcentral.